RNA transcript from Phycodurus eques (leafy seadragon), 2184 nucleotides. It is a transcript of the gene named serine and arginine rich splicing factor 2a, with no coding region annotated. Lineage: Eukaryota; Metazoa; Chordata; Actinopteri; Syngnathiformes; Syngnathidae. The transcript has 3 exons. The record is from RefSeq and is a predicted model, not a curated record.
GGAGAGGAAGCAUUGUUGCCGCCAUUUCGUGUACAAGAAGCAGACCGUUCGAGUGGUGCAUACGCGUAAGUGCUUCAACAUUGAGAUCAUUUUGGAGUCUUGCGUAGAUUUCAGAACUAGCGGCGUUUUGUUAUAUUACAUUCAGGAGUAGCUUGGAGUGUUUUAGUUAGUGGCCACCGCUCGGUUCCGCGGAGAAAAUGAGCAGCUACGGUAGGCCGCCGCCAGACGUGGAGGGGAUGACCUCCCUCAAAGUGGAUAACCUGACUUACCGGACUUCGCCGGAGACGCUGCGCCGUGUGUUCGAGAAGUACGGCCGGGUAGGCGACGUGUACAUCCCGCGGGACAGGUACACCAAGGAGAGCCGCGGCUUCGCCUUCGUGCGCUUCCUGGACAAGCGCGACGCCGAGGACGCCAUGGACGCCAUGGACGGAGCGCUGCUCGACGGACGGGAGCUCCGCGUGCAGAUGGCCCGCUACGGCCGGCCGCCGGACUCUAUGUACAGCCGGAGAGGGGCUGCGCCGCGACGGUACGAAGGGCGUUCAGCGAGCCCUCGACGCCGCAGACGCAGUCGUUCCAGGAGCAGGAGCCGCUCCCAAUCCAGGUGUCGCCGUCGCUACAGCCGGUCCAGGUCCCGCUCCUAUUCCCGAUCCAGGUCUCGGUCCAAGUCUAAAUCCAAGUCCAGGACCCCGAAGCGGAGCAAGUCCAAGUCCCCCUCUCGGUCCAGGUCGAGGAGCCGGACCCCCGCCUCCAACCGCGGGUCCAGAUCCAGGUCCAAGUCCAAGAGCCGGCCCAAGUCUCCAGAGGGCAACGGAACAGAGCCUUAGCUCAAACGUUGGAUGCGACAUGACGGUAUUUAGUGGGAUGGGUGGAAUGUCAUAAAUACAUAGAUGAACAGAUGUUUAGUAUUCUGAUGUCUUGAGGUUGCUCUUUUUAAAAUUUCUCAUAAGCAACCAAGUCAGCAGAACCAUGACUAUUUUAGAAAUACAAUAGCCAAGAUGAAUUUGUCUCUAAAGCAUGUGUGUUGUUUAAGUCAAACAAUUCAAAACACAUGCAAAAGAGCGUUUGAAUUGGGCUAAUGUGAGUAUAUAUGGGUGUGCUUCACUCCAAACGUUCACCUAAAUGUGGAAUUCUUUCCUCCAAGCUGCUGAGUCCUGUUUGCAAAGAGAGGAGGAGGAGAUGGGGGUGUGGCAGUAUGAGAGCAGUUAGUGUGUGACCUGCCCAUGUCACCUGCCUGUUGCUGGGGGGGCGAUGGCAGUUGCUCGGGAGCAGGUCACCCAGGCAACGCUUGGUUGUUCAGGAGCAGGUCGUCAUGGUGGUGGUGCGGGGCUGUCAGUUGGUGUUUGAGGUGGUGUGGUGAGGUACGUUCACAGGGAUCGCGGGCGGACGUGCCCGGGGUGGGGCCCCCACCUGCUUCCUGUGCUUUGCCCUCCCGCCUCUCAACCCAAAGGUUUGUUUUUAAAUGAUGCCAGAGUGCAAGAGUCCUGUGUAGAGCUAGUCUUUUGGGAAUGUGGUACUACGGAAGGUGCGUAAACGCAUACAUAUGAGGUGUACUCGCACGUUGUAAAUAUUUGGGUUAAGAGUUAAAAUGGCAUCUUUUCAGAUGCUUUCUUGUUAACUCUGAUCUCUUUUCUUGCAGAUUUCUCAGAUGAUUGCGUCUUUUUGCUGAGGACAUCAGGAUGAGUCUCACCAUGUUCAAGGGGACUCCACUAUUGCCACUGAAAGCAGACUGAAAGGCGCAGUUGUGUAGCAGUUGAGUAAUGCUGGUUAGCUGUUAAGAUGCAGUGCAGUGCGGUGGUGACAUGGUGUGGCGUGUUGCGGUGCUGAGUGCCCGGUCACUGUUCCGGGGCGCUCGACCCUCCGCUGCUGUUUGCCGGUUUGUAAGCUCACAGGUGUGGCAGAUCAUCCAUCCCCUUCCUCCUUGUCCCCAUGCCCUCUUUGAAACCCCUCCUGUGUGCUGUACAGCUCUUUAUCCCUCCUUUCUUUCCUAUACCCUUGUCUGGUUCAUCACUCGCUUUUUUUGGAAGUGGGUCCAGUGUGGCUCACAGUUUAAGGGUUGACAUUAAUUUAAGAAAAAAAUAAGGGCAGUUUCAGCUGCCUCAUCACACCUUUUUGUGCAACGCAUUCCCAGUUAACCUUUUCCAUUUUCUUUAGGUGAGUGCUAAUAAACGUAUUUGUUGAAAAUGA